Molecule: RNA transcript, 2234 nt
Organism: Macaca mulatta (Rhesus monkey)
Lineage: Eukaryota; Metazoa; Chordata; Mammalia; Primates; Cercopithecidae
Gene name: tumor necrosis factor receptor superfamily member 13B-like
Source: RefSeq, a predicted model, not a curated record
AGUAUAAUAAUAAAAAAUUUAAAAAUGAAAGAGGUGACAUAAUUUUCUUCUUUUUUGUUCCAUAAUGUGUCCUGGUCCAGUUGUGUCCUCAAGCUAAUACUGGCUCCACACAAAACUUUAAAAAUACUCUUAUUUCCCAGCAGUCUGGGAAAUGUUGGUGUUUUUGCUCCUUAAAUGUAUGGAGUAGUCCAUAAAUGAGCUGGGAGUUUUACUUGUGAAACAUUUUUGUUUGUUGGGUUUUUUCCAAGAAUUUGUUCAAUUUGUUUAAUAGACAUAGGAGUUUUUCUAUUUCAUGCUAUGUUUGGGUUAGUUUGGGUACGUUGCUUUGUAAAAUGUGGUGCAUUGUGUUCUCUGUUGUAUUUUUAGACCUACGUAUUUCCUCAGAUCUUCUUAGUUCUUAUGAAGGUCUACAGGCUCUGUAAAGAGUGUGUGUGUUGAUCCCUGAUAUUGGUGGUUUGUGUUGACUCCUCUUGUCUCUCUCUUCAUGCUGAGCUGCCUGGAGUUGGAGGAGGGAGGACGCAAGCACCCCUGUAGCUCCCACCACCGGGACCGUCCUGGGUCGGACGUGAAGCCAGCGCGAUACUGAAUCUUGCUAGAGGCCGGUGGCUAGGACUCAUGGCUACCACAGAUGUUCAUUCAAGACCCAAGCAAGGGCUCUUUCGUCAGCCGGUUCAAGGGUACAUGUGCAAGUUCGUGACAUCAAUAAAUUGCAUGGCAUGGGGAUUUGGUGUGCAGAUAAUUUCAUCACCCAGUGAUUCACAAACCUACCUUCUCAAUCUAGCAGUUUAAUCCCUCACCACAAAACAUUUCAAAAUUUUAGAACUAACACCAGUGAGAACAUGUCAUGGUACUGAAAUCAGGCUUCAGAACAUUUUUGCCUGUCGUUGCAUUUGGCAGGAAGUCAGACAGUGCCGGCAAUGCUGGUUUCUUGUCUGAUUUUGCACUUCUCUGGCAAGCUGCCGCCUCUGAAGAGUUGACUACUGGGGAGUUACUCGCUGAUGGCUCAGCCACUUCCAGAACCUACCCCAAGAGCAAGACUUGAAACCAACUCACACCCUCCAAGCUCCAGAAGCCAUUCAGUGUUUCCAUCUUGGCCGAGUGAGUUCUUGAUUGAAACCCAAUUUGACUUUGACAGUCAUCUAAUGAGAACUCAAAAGUCAUUCCUGGUUCAGCCACAGUCAAAGAACUUGCAGAGCAUUCUCUGACGAGGUCAAGGACGACUGAGAAGAAGGCAGAAAGGUGUUAAAUGGUUUGCAGAAUUGUUGGGAAGGCUGAGCUUCCAGGAGCAGCUCCCAAAGUCUCCACACACGACUGGACCACCAGGGAACCUGCUCCCUCCACCAGGACGGGACUGGGAAACCUGCCACCGCAGUUAUCAGCACCAGAAGGAUCUUGUCUCUGCCAAGUCUCUGUCCACAUAGUGAAUGCCCCGUGCCCUGCCUCUCUGUCCCUGACUCAGGUCCCACUCCAGGUCUUGCCCACAUCUUUCUGAUUGGUGGAACUUAGAUCACACCCAAAAUCCCAGCUGCAGGAGAGCUCUGAGAUUUCGUCUUUCCAGCCUCCGUGUGCUACAUGGGGGUUGGAGCACUUGCUGACAAGCCCUGCAACCACCAUUGACAGGAUGUCCUCCACCUUUUCAAUCUGAUUUGCUCAUUGCCAUGCAGAACUGUGGGUGAAGAGCCGGAGUCCUCCAAGAUAAAUGUUUCUGGCCAGUGACCUGGUGUCUGUGUUAAUUGAACAUCUCCAACGCCCUCGGAGUCCAAAACCACCGUGAAGUCACUUAUCAAGUCAUUUGACUUGGGAUGCCCAGGUGGAGCCGGACUGAAUAUUUCUGUCCAUAAGACUGUUAGAAUCCCCCAGAGUGGGAUACCAACCAGUGAGGACCUCACGAGCAGCUGCUGUCUCUGCAGUCAGAUAGAUGAGCCUCAGAAAUAACCACUGCUUGUGGUUUACUGUGUAUUCCUCUAGAUGUUUUUCUUUACACAUAUUAGUGAGUGUGGAGAGAGUGUGUGUGUUUUGUAAAUUUGAUUACACUGUGCGUUUAUUCUGACAUCCAUUUCACUUUGUGGUUGGAACGUAAGCUCUGUGAGGGCAGAGAUUUUUGUUUGUUGUGCUUGCUGUUAUAGCUCUUGUCUGUAUAACAGUGGCUGGCACAUGGUCACAUCACAGUAGAAGCUCAAUAAAUAUUUGUUGAAUGAAUGAAAAAAUACAUCCAAGACAUCUUCAGAUUUCAA